UACGAAGGGGGCUAGCGUUGUUCGGAAUUACUGGGCGUAAAGCGCGUGUAGGCGGGUCUUUAAGUCAGGGGUGAAAUGCCAAGGCUCAACCUUGGAACUGCCUUUGAUACUGGAGAUCUUGAGUCCGGGAGAGGUGAGUGGAAUUGCGAGUGUAGAGGUGAAAUGCGUAGAUAUUGGGAGGAACACCAGUGGCGAAGGCGGCUACCUGGACCGGUGCUGACGCUGAUGCGCGAAAGCGUGGGUAGCAAACAGG
Molecule: ribosomal RNA, 253 nt
Filed under: uncultured bacterium
Lineage: Bacteria
Description: partial 16S ribosomal RNA
Rfam family: Bacterial small subunit ribosomal RNA
Source: RNAcentral